GACGAACGCUGGCGGCGUGCCUAAUACAUGCAAGUAGAACGCACAGUUUAUACCGUAGCUUGCUACACCAUAGACUGUGAGUUGCGAACGGGUGAGUAACGCGUAGGUAACCUGCCUGGUAGCGGGGGAUAACUAUUGGAAACGAUAGCUAAUACCGCAUAAUAUUGAUUAUUGCAUGAUAAUUGAUUGAAAGAUGCUAUUGCAUCACUACCAGAUGGACCUGCGUUGUAUUAGCUAGUAGGUGAGGUAACGGCUCACCUAGGCGACGAUACAUAGCCGACCUGAGAGGGUGAUCGGCCACACUGGGACUGAGACAAGGCCCAGACUCCUACGGGAGGCAGCAGUAGGGAAUCUUCGGCAAUGGACGAAAGUCUGACCGAGCAACGCCGCGUGAGUGAAGAAGGUUUUCGGAUCGUAAAGCUCUGUUGUAAGAGAAGAACGGGUGUGAGAGUGGAAAGUUCACACUGUGACGGUAUCUUACCAGAAAGGGACGGCUAACUACGUG
RNAcentral lists this ribosomal RNA (505 nucleotides) under uncultured bacterium. RNAcentral's name for it is "partial 16S ribosomal RNA". It matches the Rfam family "Bacterial small subunit ribosomal RNA", at positions 28 to 507 of the family's 1533-position model. The record is from RNAcentral.